This 253-nucleotide ribosomal RNA is filed under the name uncultured bacterium. Its description in RNAcentral is "partial 16S ribosomal RNA". It matches the Rfam family "Bacterial small subunit ribosomal RNA", at positions 524 to 776 of the family's 1533-position model. The record is from RNAcentral.
UACGUAGGUGGCAAGCGUUGUCCGGAUUUACUGGGCGUAAAGGGAGCGUAGGUGGAUAUUUAAGUGGGAUGUGAAAUACUCGGGCUCAACCUGGGUGCUGCAUUCCAAACUGGAUAUCUAGAGUGCAGGAGAGGAAAGUAGAAUUCCUAGUGUAGCGGUGAAAUGCGCAGAUAUCAGGAGGAACACCGGUGGCGAAGGCGGGUCUCUGGACAGUUCCUGACGCUGAGGCACGAAGGUCAGGGGAGCAAACGGG